UCGCCCACGCCCCAUAGCCGCCUCGCCGCCGCCCCAGUGCAUGCCAAGCCGCGCCGGCCUGCCACCGCCCUGCUCCUUAGUCACUCCGCGCGCAGGUUCCUUGUCGUGGCCGCGUCGCGCCGGCCCGCGUUUCCACCGUUGGCCGCGCCGCGUCCAGCUUGCUAUCGUGGUCGCGCCGUGCCCGCGCCCUGCCGUGGUCAUGCCGCGCCCGCUCCAUGUUAUGGUCGUGUCGUGCUCGCUCCCUGCCCGCCAGGCCCGACUCGUUGUCGUGGCCGCGCCAAGCUCCCUGCCCGCCAGGCCCGACUCGUUGUCGUGGCCGCGCCAAGCUCCCUGCCCUGGCCAUGCCCGGCUCCCUGCCGUGGUCGCGCCGCGCCCGCUCACUGUCGUGGCCGCGCCGCACGGGCGCGCGCUUUCGCCAUCAGUCGCGCCACGCUCAGCUCACUGUCAUGGCUGCACCAAGCUCCAUGCCCUGGCUGGUGCGCCGCGGGUGUGAGGAGGAAGGGGACGAGGGGAUAAUGUCUUUUUUAGCAGCGAACGAGGGAAUUAAACACAAUAAGCGUCGCGUUAAGGACGCUCAUUCGCGUGGUACACCUGUCCGAUUUUACUGUGCAUGUUUUACUGUACCGAACGAAACAAGACUUGUUCAUGAUCGCUCGACUGGGUAGCGGGCCGCUUAAUCCCCCCACGCUCAGCGCCCCUCUCCUUCCACUCCCACAGCUAGGGUUAGCGUCGCCGCUGCCCUCCCCGCGCUCGCGCCUAGAGCUUCCGCGCCGCCAUGUCCCCUCGCGCAAGCCGGCCUCACCGCAGAAGAGGGUCGUCCAUGGAGCCUGUAUCCCCGUCGUCGACCUUGCGCACAUGAAAGGUCGCUGCUGCUGGUCGUGGUCACCCAGGUUGACAGAGCGCCCACUGCCCUGCAGCUCAUCAUGGAGCCUUGAACUCAAGGUUAGCGACGAAGAUGGGCGUCCCUACUGGUGGCCUGCGGAGAAGUACCCGAUGGUGAUGGUGGACGUGGUGGACGAGGAACAUGUCGAGAUCGAGGGUGUCAAGGGCUACUAAUGCAGAGGAGCAAACUGGAAAUUCCACCUGCAUAUUUUAGGUAAUUUAUAUCAUGUUUUUAAACCCUUUGUGUGCAUAUGGUAGGCACGAACUUGUCCCUGCAGCUCAUGAUAAGAGUAGGACCUUAAAUUCCCUAGAAUGAGUUCUUAUAGCCUUUUGUCAUUCUAGUGUGUAUUUUCAAUGGAAAUAAUCCAAGGGCAAUCUUAGCUUAUUCGUUGAUCUGUUCUGAACCAUGGUUCAUACAUAUAUUGUUGCAGUUGCCAAUUAGAACAGUGUGAUAUACAACAAUUCGAGUUCCACAUCUGUUUAAAGGACUUCUGAUCUCAUCUCACCUUCUUGGCAGAGUGUUCAAUUAAAAUCAUAUUUAUUACUGGGUUGGAGCAGAUGGAUUGAUUUCUACAUGCAAAGUAACGCAUCAGGUUGAGUUGAACGUGUGGUACUUUGCACCUUUGGUUAUAUAUAUCUCAUUAGUAUGACUAUUUAUUAGCAUGAUGGUUAUGAUAGAAUGUUGUAAUACAACAAGGAACACAAUUACCUAUACUUAACUAAAUGAUAAAUCACUAACCCUUUUUACUAGAGUUUGCAUUAGGCCAAUCGACAUGCUGCUAUUAGAUCCAAGUACACUCUACAACUCAUGAGUAUUUCUUUAGUAUCUCACUUCUAAUAUGGUGUCUGCUCUGUUCGAGGUUAUGUGUCCUCACUAGCGGUAGCAGCACCUUUGCCAUCGUCCUUCUCUUCUACAUUCACUUUUUUUAAUCCCGUGUUGUUUAGAUAAAAUUUGGUGGUUUAGAUGAAAUUUUAUCGGAGGGUUUCCCAAUCAUUAAUUUUGUGGUGCUAAUUUGUUCUUAAUUUCUUAUGUCUCUAGGUGUCCGCAUUUUCUCUUGUAAACCUCUUUUACUUGCCUAUCUCCCUACCGGUAUACAUGUCUUUAAUGGAUAGUUUAUUAUACAGAGUUUUCUUUCAUAAUUUUUAAAAAAAUUCUCGAUGAAUGACGGGUAGUGUCCUACUAGAAUAUUGGGAAAAUGAAAAUCGACUCUGGUUAUUCACUUAUUCUAGCAUGAUCACUAUCACACUGAGUUUUUUUGCAUGCUGUGACACCAAUAUACUUGUAAUCUUAGUACUGGGUUCUUCUAAAGGAUGAUUUUCUUCUCAUACUACAGCUGGAAUGAUCAAAAUAUGUGAUCUCGAAGUCACUGUUCUUCAUGCUUACUUAUCAUUAUAUUGUUGUCAUUGGAUAUUAUAUAGAGACCAAGACUGCAUAUGGAAGUCAUUUUAUAAGCUUUAGAGUUCCAGCAACGAGAAAGAAAAUUUGCGAUAUCAUGUUUAGUAGGUCUAUAGUUUUCUUACUCCUAUAUUGGGUGUUGCAUAAUGAGCUAAUUGAUAUUGGACAUUAUGUAGAGUCUUAAUUAUCUUCAUUGCAGUAUCACAUUAUUUGACUCUGUUGAUUCAUUGUGCUUGCCAUUAGUAUUGUGAAAACAUCUGCCUUCUUUGCAGUAAUUUUGAAGAUAUAUUUUAUGUGGGUCAUUUUAUAAACUAUGUGAAGGAUGAAGCACGCAUUGUCCCAGACAUCCCUGACUGGUUCGUCGAAAAAGAUCAGCUCUUCACCAGUAUAAAGUAAUUCGAGUUGCGAUCUCAAGAAAAGGACAAUACCCAGUUGGAUUCAUUCACUUCGGCAGUUUUUCAGGUCUUUUGUGUAGUGGCGUACUGUUGUUGGUAACCUUGCAUAGUUAUUUGCGUUUCAAGUGACAAUUCAAAUGCUAACAAUGAUUGGUGUGGGGCUCGGUGGUACAGUUCCCUGACCUUCCAGUCAGAUGUUCCACGAGAUGGUCCAAUGGUGGAAUAUGAGAAGAGAAUUGCAUCAGGAGAUAUUGAAGAUGGUGAUAGCUUCCAGGUUAUUGCAUUGGACCUGAUCAAUGCUUUUCUUACAUGAUCUCCUUCAUAUUUGGUUCUGGAUGCAUGGUUUCCAUCUACCCUUGAUAGUGCGCACAUGCACACCAGGACUGAAAAUCGUCAAUGAACAUUGUAAAUCGGCUGCCGCGCGUUGGUAGUGCCCCCUCUUCUAAAGACACUGCGGCAUAGUCGCGUCGACCUCAGCGGCAGGCGCAAUGACUGGUUGCACUAUGGCGAGCAGGAACUCUCAAUUGACAAGCGGCCAGUGUUCCAGUUCCACACCCCCCUCGAGCUGGCAAAGAUGACGGCGAGCGUUAGCUCGCGGGGGCAGCAUAGGGCAAUGGGGAUGUUGUAACGCCCCGGAUGCAACUUUCCAUAUUCGUAACUCCAACUCUUGCCUU
This is a long non-coding RNA of Triticum aestivum (bread wheat), 3347 nucleotides long. RefSeq lists it as uncharacterized. The transcript is spliced from 5 exons. Lineage: Eukaryota; Viridiplantae; Streptophyta; Magnoliopsida; Poales; Poaceae. The record is from RefSeq and is a predicted model, not a curated record.